RNAcentral lists this ribosomal RNA (108 nucleotides) under Vibrio cyclitrophicus. Lineage: Bacteria; Pseudomonadati; Pseudomonadota; Gammaproteobacteria; Vibrionales; Vibrionaceae. The record is from RNAcentral.
CCAUAGCAUUGUGGACCCACCUGAUUCCAUGCCGAACYCAGAAGUGAAACACAAUAGCGCCGAUGGUAGUGUGGGGCUUCCCCAUGUGAGAGUAGGACAUCGCCAGGC